This 448-nucleotide ribosomal RNA is filed under the name uncultured bacterium. RNAcentral's name for it is "bacterial SSU rRNA". It matches the Rfam family "Bacterial small subunit ribosomal RNA", at positions 329 to 794 of the family's 1533-position model. The record is from RNAcentral.
CGCCAGACUCCUACGGGAGGCAGCAGUGGGGAAUAUUGCACAAUGGGGGAAACCCUGAUGCAGCGACGCCGCGUGAGCGAUGAAGUAUUUCGGUAUGUAAAGCUCUAUCAGCAGGGAAGAAGAUGACGGUACCUGACUAAGAAGCCCCGGCUAACUACGUGCCAGCAGCCGCGGUAAUACGUAGGGGGCAAGCGUUAUCCGGAUUUACUGGGUGUAAAGGGAGCGUAGACGGCGAUGCAAGCCAGAUGUGAAAGCCCGGGGCUCAACCCCGGGACUGCAUUUGGAACUGUGUGGCUGGAGUGUCGGAGAGGCAGGCGGAAUUCCUAGUGUAGCGGUGAAAUGCGUAGAUAUUAGGAGGAACACCAGUGGCGAAGGCGGCCUGCUGGACGAUGACUGACGUUGAGGCUCGAAAGCGUGGGGAGCAAACAGGAUUAGAUACCCGGGUAGC